Molecule: ribosomal RNA, 468 nt
Filed under: uncultured bacterium
Lineage: Bacteria
Description: partial 16S ribosomal RNA
Rfam family: Bacterial small subunit ribosomal RNA
Source: RNAcentral
GACGAACGCUGGCGGCGUGCUUAACACAUGCAAGUCGAACGGAAAGUCCCUGCUUUUGUGGGGUGCUCGAGUGGCGAACGGGUGAGUAACACGUGAGUAACCUGCCCUUGACUUUGGGAUAACUUCAGGAAACUGGGGCUAAUACCGGAUAGGAGCUCCUGCUGCAUGGUGGGGGUUGGAAAGUUUCGGCGGUUGGGGAUGGACUCGCGGCUUAUCAGCUUGUUGGUGGGGUAGUGUCUUACCAAGGCUUUGACGGGUAGCCGGCCUGAGAGGGUGACCGGCCCAGUUGCGACUGAGAUGAGGCACAGACUCCUACGGGAGGCAGCAGUGGGGAAUAGUGCACAAUGGGCGGAAGCCUGGUGCAGCAAAGCCGCGUGGGGGGUGACGGCCAUCGGGUUGUAAACCGCUUUCGCCUGUGACGAAGCGUGAGUGACGGUAAUGGGUAAAGAAGCACCGGCUAACUACGUG